Molecule: non-coding RNA, 28 nt
Filed under: Homo sapiens (human)
Lineage: Eukaryota; Metazoa; Chordata; Mammalia; Primates; Hominidae
Source: RNAcentral
CUGGACUUGUCCGAAGGGAACUUGCUGU